AGCGAUAGCUGGUUAUUCAAGAAAAGAAUUUAAGUUCAACCUAAAGUUACUAUAUUUACCAUAAAAAACCCCAUAACUUUAGAGCUAUUCAAAUAAGGUACAGCUUGUUUGAACUAGGAUACAACCUAUAUUAAUGGGUAACCACGAGACUUCCUCAUCUAAGUAGGCCUAAGAGCAGCCACCUUAAAAAGCGUCAAAGCUUACCUGCACCUCUCUCGAAUCCCCUCAACCCUAACUAACCCUUUAACUUUACUGAAUACUUCUAUACCACUAUAGAACCUUUUAUGUUAAAACUAGUAACAAGAAGAAGCCCUUCUCUUCAAUGCAAACUUAAGUCAAAAAAGACAAUAACGACACUUAAUAGCUCAAAAUAGUAACUCCACUAGAAAAUUCUAUUCCCCACCCUAUUAACCUAACACAAGAGCAUCAAAAGAAAGAUUAAAAGAAAAAGAAGGAACUCGGCAAUUAUUGACCUCGCCUGUUUACCAAAAACAUCGCCUCUCGAAUCCAUGAGAGGUCCAGCCUGCCCAGUGACCCUGUUCAACGGCCGCGGUAUCCUAACCGUGCGAAGGUAGCGUAAUCACUUGUCUUUUAAAUAAAGACUAGUAUGAAAGGCAUCACGAAGGUCUAACUGUCUCCUUUUUCCAAUCAAUGAAACUAAUCUCCUCGUGAAGAAGCGAGGAUAAACCUAUAAGACGAGAAGACCCUAUGGAGCUUUAAAUAUAGUAACAUUUGCUUAUACCACAUCACUUUCAGAAUACCCUCACUAAUAGCAUAUUAAUUACAAAUUUUAGGUUGGGACGACCACGGAGAAUAACUAAUCCUCCAUGUUGAACUGGAUAACACCCUAAUCAACAAGCCACUACUUUAUGAAUCAAUAAAUUGACUCCCAUUGACCCAAUAAAAUUGAUCAACGAACCAAGUUACCCUAGGGAUAACAGCGCAAUCUGCUUUAAGAGCCCCUAUCGACAAGCAGGUUUACGACCUCGAUGUUGGAUUAGGGUGUCCCAGUGGUGCAGCCACUACUAAAGGUUCGUUUGUUCAACGAUUAAAACCCCACAUGAUCUGAGUUCAGACCGGAGUAAUCCAGGUCAGUUUCUAUCUAUAAACCAGGGCUUUUUCCAGUACGAAAGGACCAAAAAAGCAUGGCCAAUUUUUAAUAAAGCCAUUAUCAACUAUUUUUGUUUACUUAAAAAAUAAUUGACCUCCUACCUAUCUCAAAAGAAGAGUAGUUAUUGUAGCAAAACUGGCCCUG
This 1255-nucleotide ribosomal RNA is filed under the name Niceforonia nigrovittata (black-banded robber frog). Its description in RNAcentral is "partial large subunit ribosomal RNA". It matches the Rfam family "Bacterial large subunit ribosomal RNA", at positions 841 to 2925 of the family's 2925-position model. Lineage: Eukaryota; Metazoa; Chordata; Amphibia; Anura; Strabomantidae. The record is from RNAcentral.